RNAcentral lists this ribosomal RNA (497 nucleotides) under uncultured bacterium. RNAcentral describes it as "partial 16S ribosomal RNA". It matches the Rfam family "Bacterial small subunit ribosomal RNA", at positions 28 to 507 of the family's 1533-position model. The record is from RNAcentral.
GAUGAACGCUGGCGGCGUGCCUAACACAUGCAAGUCGAGCGAACAGACGUGUUUCUUGUUCCUCUGAGGUUAGCGGCGGGCGGGUGAGUAACACGGGGAUAACCAACCUAUAUGACUGGGAUAGCUUCUAGAAACCGGACCGAAGACCAGAAGAUAAAAUGAACCGCAGGGUGGAAUCGCGUAAGACUGUUUUGCUGUUACGGAAAUAUCUUACCGAGGCGCUGUUCCUAAUUGGGAAGGUAAGGGUUUACCAAGGCAACGGUGCGUAGCCGACCCGAGAGAGUGAUCGGACACACUGGAACUGAGAGAUGGUCCAGACUGCUACGGGAGGACGCAGCAGGGACUCUCCCGCAAUAGGCGAAAGCCUGACGGAGCAACGCGGCGUGAGUGAUGAAGGUAUUCGGAUCUUAAAACUCUGUUAUUAGGGAUGAACAACUGUGUAAGUAACUAUGCACGUAUUGACGGUACCUAAUCAGAAAGCCACGGCUAACUCCGUG